AUAGUGAACCAGUACCGUGAGGGAAAGGCGAAAAGAACCCCCGAAGGGGAGUGAAAUAGAACCUAAAACCGUGUGCGUACAAGCAGUAGGAGCUAAAUUGUGUAUGUGAUUUUGCAUUUAUGUAAAAUUGUGUUGCACAGCUAUUUAGUGACUGCGUACCUUUUGUAUAAUGGGUCAGCGAGUGAUUCAUAGUAGCAAGCUUAACCUCUUUAGGGGAGGCGUAGGGAAACCGAGUCUUAACUGGGCGUUUAGUUGCUAUGAGUCGACCCGAAACCGAGCGAUCUAUUUAUGGUCAGGAUGAAGUUUGGGUAAAACCAAAUGGAGGUCCGAACCCACUAAUGUUGAAAAAUUAGGGGAUGAACUGUGAAUAGGAGUGAAAGGCUAAUCAAGCUCGGAGAUAGCUGGUACUCCUCGAAAGCUAUUGAGGUAGCGCCUUGUGAAUGACGUUUGGGGGUAGAGCACUGUAUCGACGAUGGGGUGAUAAUCACUUACUGAAUUGAUGCAAACUCCGAAUACCAAACAGUUGAAUCACAGGAGACACACUGCGGGUGCUAAGGUCCGUAGUGGAAAGGGAAACAGCCCAGACCGUCAGCUAAGGUCCCCAAAUAACAGUUAAGUGUGAAACGAAGUGAGAGGGCACAGACACCCAGGAAGUUGGCUUAGAAGCAGCCAUCUUUUAAAGAAAGCGUAACAGCUCACUGGUCGAGUCGUCCUGCACGGACAAUGUAACGGGGCUAAAACUGUUUACCGAAGCUGCGGGCAUACAUGUUUUUUUGUGUAUGCGGUAGAGGAGCAUUCUGUAAGCCACUGAAGCCAUAUUGAGAAGUAUGGUGGAGGUAUCAGAAGAGCGAAUGCUGACAUGAGUAACGAUAAUGUGGGUAAAUAAUCCUACACGCCGGAAGUCUAAGGUUUCCUCGCGCAAUGAAAUUCAGCGCAGGGUUAGUCGGAUUCUAAGGUAAGGCUGAAAAGCGUAGCCGAUGACUAACAGGUUAAAAUUCCUGUACUUAAUAGAUACUGUGAUGUAAUGACGGAGUAGGCUAAAUUGUGCUAGCCGAUGGUUGUGCUAGUCUAAGCAAGUAGGUGAGUGUUUAGGAAAAUCCGGACACUGUAAACACCGAGAUGUGAUGGGGAACUGAUCAGAAUUUCUGAUCAGGGUAGCAAUUGAUGCCACACUUCCAAGAAAAGUUGCUAAACUAUAGGAUCUAUUAAUCCGUACUACAAACCGACACAGGUAGACAGGUAGAGAAUACUAAGGCGUAGAGAUAACUUGGGUGAAGGAACUCGGCAAAAUGACACCGUAACUUUGGGAGAAGGUGAACCUUCAUUAUGUGAGACAAUUUAUGUUAUGCAUAAACUUGUUGAGCGGAAGGAGGUCUCAGAGAAAUGGCGGUAGCGACUGUUUACUAA
This 1407-nucleotide ribosomal RNA is filed under the name Ctenophora environmental sample. Its description in RNAcentral is "partial Bacterial large subunit ribosomal RNA". It matches the Rfam family "Bacterial large subunit ribosomal RNA", at positions 487 to 1810 of the family's 2925-position model. The record is from RNAcentral. Lineage: Eukaryota; Metazoa; Ctenophora.